GAUUGAACGCUGGCGGCAUGCUUUACACAUGCAAGUCGAACGGCAGCGGGGAGGAGCUUGCUUCUCUGCCGGCGAGUGGCGAACGGGUGAGUAAUACAUCGGAACGUGUCGAGAAGAGGGGGAUAACCACCCGAAAGGGUGGCUAAUACCGCAUAAAUUCUGAGGAAGAAAGCUGGGGACCUAGGAAUAGGCCUAGCGCUUUUUGAGCGGCCGAUGUCGGAUUAGCUAGUUGGUGAGGUAAAGGCUCACCAAGGCGAAGAUCUGUAGCGGGUCUGAGAGGAUGAUCCGCCACACUGGGACUGAGACACGGCCCAGACUCCUACGGGAGGCAGCAGUGGGGAAUUUUGGACAAUGGGGGCAACCCUGAUCCAGCCAUGCCGCGUGUAUGAAGAAGGCCUUAGGGUUGUAAAGUACUUUUGUUAGGGAAGAAAAGUCAGCUGUGAAUAAUGGCUGAUACUGACGGUACCUAAAGAAUAAGCACCGGCUAACUACGUG
This 495-nucleotide ribosomal RNA is filed under the name uncultured bacterium. Its description in RNAcentral is "partial 16S ribosomal RNA". It matches the Rfam family "Bacterial small subunit ribosomal RNA", at positions 27 to 507 of the family's 1533-position model. The record is from RNAcentral.